CGAACGCUGGCGGCGUGCUUAACACAUGCAAGUCGAACGGAAAGGCCCUGCUUUUGUGGGGUGCUCGAGUGGCGAACGGGUGAGUAACACGUGAGUAACCUGCCCUUGACUUUGGGAUAACUUCAGGAAACUGGGGCUAAUACCGGAUAGGAGCUCCUGCUGCAUGGUGGGGGUUGGAAAGUUUCGGCGGUUGGGGAUGGACUCGCAGCUUAUCAGCUUGUUGGUGGGGUAGUGGCUUACCAAGGCUUUGACGGGUAGCCGGCCUGAGAGGGUGACCGGCCACAUUGGGACUGAGAUACGGCCCAGACUCCUACGGGAGGCAGCAGUGGGGAAUAUUGCACAAUGGGCGGAAGCCUGAUGCAGCAACGCCGCGUGCGGGAUGACGGCCUUCGGGUUGUAAACCGCUUUCGCCUGUGACGAAGCGUGAGUGACGGUAAUGGGUAAAGAAGCACCGGCUAACUACGUG
This 466-nucleotide ribosomal RNA is filed under the name uncultured bacterium. RNAcentral describes it as "partial 16S ribosomal RNA". It matches the Rfam family "Bacterial small subunit ribosomal RNA", at positions 30 to 507 of the family's 1533-position model. The record is from RNAcentral.